Molecule: ribosomal RNA, 508 nt
Filed under: uncultured bacterium
Lineage: Bacteria
Description: bacterial SSU rRNA
Rfam family: Bacterial small subunit ribosomal RNA
Source: RNAcentral
AGAGUUUGAUCAUGGCUCAGGACGAACGCUGGCGGCGUGCUUAACACAUGCAAGUUGAACGGGACGGAUAUUGAAGCGACUUUUCGGAGUGGUGGAUAUAUUUGUUUAGUAGCGGACGGGUGAGUAAUGCAUGAGAACCUGCCCUUCAGAGGGGGACAACAGUUGGAAACGGCUGCUAAUACCCCAUAUGCCGAGAGGUGAAAGGAGCGAUCCGCUGAAGGAGAGGCUCAUGUCCUAUCAGCUAGUUGGUGAGGUAAGUGCUCACCAAGGCGAUGACGGGUAGCCGGCCUGAGAGGGCGACCGGCCACACUGGAACUGAGAUACGGUCCAGACUCCUACGGGAGGCAGCAGUGGGGAAUAUUGGGCAAUGGGCGGAAGCCUGACCCAGCGACGCCGCGUGAGGGAAGAAGGCCUUUGGGUCGUAAACCUCUGUUGUAUGGGAAGAAGGAAGUGACGGUACCAUACGAGGAAGUCCCGGCUAACUACGUGCCAGCCGCCGCGGUAAUUC